UCAUCCACUGCUGUGCUGCCUGUGACGUUCAGCAGGAGGCAGCGUCAGGCCUGCUGAGGACUCUGCAGCACAGCUUGGAUCUGUCCUGCUCCUCCUGUGUGGAGCUACCAGAGGAGGAUCAGCCUGAGCCUCUGAGUCUGACCGCUGAUGACUGCAGGGCCGUCUCCACCAUCCUGACACACAGCAGCCGAGACACACAGCUCGACCUGCGAGACUGUGAGGUGGAGGACAGCGUGCUGGACCUGCUGUUUCCUGUCCUCCACAGGGUCCGCCUCAGGUGGGAAAGACCACUGAAGAGUCUAAACCAGAGAGAAGCUCGUUCACACUGGUGUUGAUGCAUCCUGACAGUUUCUCUUUGCUCUGUUUGUCCUGUUUAGAGUCAGUAAAACUGUCCUCCUCCAGCUGCUGUCUCUGGUUCCUGAGAACAGUGAGAGGGACACAGUGAGGCGGGCGGUGUCCCUGUGUGGAGCCCUGGGUGGAGAGCUGGAUCUCAGUCACAGCACGCUGGAUCAGAGGGCCUGUGGGGCUUUGGUCCAGAUGCUGGACUCGUGUGAAGGGCUGACAGAGCUGGACCUCAGUCACUGUCAGCUCACUGACCAGCUGCUGCUCCCUCUCAUCACACAUCUGCACAAAGUCCAAGUGCUGGAUCUGAGUCACAAUCAGAUCACUGAUGCUUCGACUGAUGCGUUGCUCCAGCUGCUCUCCAUCAACCCCUCCAUCGACUGUGUGCGACUUUACAGCAACAACAUCGUCGACAGAGCAGCUUUCAAGGAACACAAGCAGUUUGAGAUCUGGUGAAGCACUCGUCAUCAUCAUCGUCAUGAACAUCAUCGUCAUCAUCAUCAUCAUCAGGGAUUCACUGGUUUCCUCUGUUCUUGUCAUCAUUGCAUGAAAAUAUUGGGUGGAGUGGGAGCACUGAUACUGUGAGUUUUGAUGACCAGCUUAAUUUUUUUUUAUUUUUUCUACAAUGACUUGAAGACAGUUUAUAUGGAGACAAAGUGCAGCCAACAGUGUUUGUUUCAAUUUCCCACCGUUUCUUUUCUUUCUGAGCUACUGCAGAUGUUUCUUUGAUGGAGGUCAGAUGUCUAAUUGGUCAUGUGAUGAUGUCACAGUCCUGUGUCUUAGACCCACAAUUUUGAGUUUUGCGUUCUCGGUCUAAUCUUUUGGAUUUCAAGUCUUUAUUUCCCCAUGCAGUUACUUCCUGUUUUAUUUUGAUAGUCAUUUGUCUCUGUUCCUUGUAUUUAUGUUUGCUUGUCCUGAUUGGUUUCAGCUGUGUCUCAUUCCCUUAAUCUGCCCACUUUUAUAUUUACCUGUUAAACCUGAGAGUCCUGCAUACUGGCCCUGCUGAAACUUGACAGAUGAUCAUCUUGAUGUUUACACCUCUGAUAUUUCUGUAAUAAUUGUAAUUCUGUUAUAAUAUUAUUGAGACAAAACACGGAAGCCAUCACCGUUUUAUCAGUGCAGGGAGUCGGUCAUAUUUAUUAUUUGUACUUUUGUGAUAACGGUAUUUAUUCUGGUCUACAUGUUUCAGACAGGACAAAGUAGAGAGACUCUAGAAUGAUGUCUCAGAGUAACGAUGCAAUAAGUGAGCAAUCAGGAUAAAACCGUGUUUGGUACUUUGACAUAACUGGAAGAAAUGAUCAUAAACAUGUAAAUCAUUUUUAGUUUGUAUUUCAUGUUAAGAGAUACACGUGAUAAUGAUCAUUUCUGUUCUCUUAAUGUGACACUGUUAUGAAAUUUUCCUCAUUAAUGGACCUCAUGUAUAAUGAGUGGUGGCUGUAGCUCAGGGGGUAGAGCAGGUCAUCUACUAAUAUAAAGGUUGCUGGUUUGAUCCCUGGCUGCUCCGCCCUGCAUGCCAGAUAUCCUCAGGCAAGAUACUAACCCCAAGUUAAGCACAGAGAAAGUGCCUGAAUGAAUGUGUGGAUGAGGCAUGUUGUGUAAAGUGCUCUGAGUGCUGCAGGAGUAUACAAAAACACUAUGCAAGAAUUUAUCCUUUAAUACAUUUCAGGUUUUUAAAUGUAACUUUUUUUUACCAUAUUAAUGUCGAGCUUCAUGUAGACUCGGGGAAUAAAUAAUAAAAGUUCGGAUGUCUGUGAUCGACGUGAUUCUGUUUCAGUGAUUGUAGUUAUAGAAAGUCAGUCAUUAUACAGCAUCAGUAAUUCAGGAAAUUUGUACAGAAACAAAAUGCCAGUUUGAGAGGGAUGGGGAGAUUGUAUCAUUCAGGAAAUACUUAACGAGUAUGUCAGUCUCAUUUAGAUAAAAGAUCCAGCAGACUCGGAUGUGUCAGUACAGCUGGCACAGUCACACAGAGGAACCAGGAUCUCCUAAACAACCACAAAGUCACAUCACAUCAUUUUCUCUUUGACAGUGUAACAUCAGAGCAUUAAGCUUUUGGAUUGUUUGGCCACACAUACCAAAGGGCACCAACAGAAAAGACCCUCAUUUACCUUUAAGCCCCCUGUACAGUUAUAAUUUUUCACUUUUACUGUUACUUUAGUCUUCUUGCUAUACUUUAAAAUCACUUUUCAGUUCUAUAUUUUUUACAACCUUUGUUUACAAUCAUUUAUUUGCAUUACAGUGAUGUCAUGUAACCAACACAGCAUAUUGCAUGUCAGGCUCAAAAGGUCAAACUUUCUGGAAAAUUAUUCAAAGUACUGAAGUGAAACAAACCUGAUUUCAUGGCAGAAUCAUAACUAAUGCUCUUUGUAAGCUGAUUUCAGCCCCUAAACAGUCGCCGGAGGAAAGAAUCUGCAGAAUAAUGUGGACACAUGUUAGAAGUUUCCUGUCGAGUGUACAAACACUAACACCUCACCCACACAGUAAAGUGUGUAGCUAGAAAGAGUGAUAUUAGUCUAUAUCCCUGUCUCAGACUUAAAACUGAUGUUUUGCUGGCCUUUACUGCCACGAUCUACUUAAGCAAACACAGAAUCUCACAUUUUCUCCCUUUCACUCAAACACACAUUUUAAGUGCAAAAAUAAUUUAUAGCAAUAAUCAGUAAUAUGAAUAGCAUCAUUGCAGCCUUUGGUGAGCACCAUGGACAGCAACCGCAGUCAGUUUAUACUAUAACCUCACAUUAUCUUCUUCAACCAGGCUAUCACAAGCCAGAAACAGAUCCAGCCGUGCUAGGAUAACACAAAGACAAUUGUAUUGUCAUUAAAAUGGUAAAUGGUAAAUGGCCUGUAUUUGUAUAGCGCUUUACUUAGUCCCUAAGGACCCCAAAGCGCUUUACACAUCCAGUCAUCCACCCAUUCACACACACAUUCACACACUGGUGAUGGCAAGCUACAUUGUAAGUCCAUUAACCAAAGGUCCUCAAAGCCUCACUGGAUGUACCAACAACCAAACUCUUUUACAGAGAUCCUCAUUCAGCAAUCGUUUCUAAUGGACGUACUUCUAGAUGUAUCACACACACACACACACACACAUUACAGUAUGAGGAUAUAUUUUCCAGAUUUAGGUGGUAACAAUGUUUCAGUCCUUUACAAAAUCACAAACCAUUCACCCAUCAGAACUUUGUCCUUGUGCUACAACACUGCUCACAUCCAGAGUCCUGGUGUUGUACUGAUCCUGCC
This is a long non-coding RNA of Oreochromis niloticus (Nile tilapia), 3573 nucleotides long. The record is from Ensembl. NCBI's taxonomy places the organism in Eukaryota, Metazoa, Chordata, Actinopteri, Cichliformes, Cichlidae.